GUUUAGACACACCUACUCAUUCAAAGGUUUUUCUUUAUUUUUACUAUUUUCUACAUUUUAGAAUAAUAGUGAAGACAUCGAAACUAUGAAAACAACACAUAUGGAAUUAUGUAGUAACUAAAAAAGUGCUAAACAAAUCAAAAUAUAUUUUAUGUUUGAGAUUCUUCAAAGUUGCCACCCUUUGCCUUGAUGACAGCUUGGACCACGCUUGGCAUUCUCUCAACUAGCUUCACCUGGAAAUCUUUUCCAACAUUCUUGAAUGAGUUCCCACAUAUGCUGAGCACUUGUUGGCUGCUUUUCCUUCACUCUGCGGUCCAACUCAUCCCAAACCAUCUCAAUUGGGUUGAGGUCGGGUGAUUGUGGAGGCCAGGUCAUCUGAUGCAGCACUCCAUCACUCUCCUUCUUGGUCAAAUAGCCCUUACACAGCCUGGAGGUGUGUUGGGUCAUUGUCCUGUUGAAAAAAAAUAUAUAGUCCCACUAAACGCAACCAGAUGGGAUGGUGUAUCGCUGCAGAAUGCUGUGGUAGCCAUGCUGGUUAAGUGUGCCUUGAAUUCUAAAUAAAUCACUGACAGUGUCACCAGCAAAGCACCCCCACACCAUAACACCUCCUCCAUGCUUCACGGUGGGAACCACACAUGCAGAAAUCAUCUGUUCACCUAUUCUGCGUCUCACAAAGACACGGCGGUUGGAACCAAAAAUCUCACAUUUGGACUCAUCAGACCAAAGGACAGAUUUCCACAGGUCUAAUGUCCAUUGCUCGUGUUUCUUGGCCCAAGCAAGUCUCUUCUUAUUAUUGGUGUCCUUUAGUAGUGGUUUCUUUGCAGCAAUUUGACCAUGAAGGCCUAAUUCACACAGUCUCCUCUGGUCAGUUGAUGUUGAGAUGUGUCUGUUACUUGAACUCUGUGAAGCAUUAAUUUGGGCUGCAAUUUCUGAGGCUGGUAACUCUAAUGAACUUACCCUCUGUAGCAGAGGUAACUCUGGGUCUUCCUUUCCUGUGGUUGUCCUCAUGAGAGCCAGUUUCAUCAUAGGGUUUGAUGGUUUUUGCAACUGCACUUGAAGAAACUUUCAAAGUUCUUCAAAUUCUCCGCAUUGACUGACCUUCAUGUCUUAAAGUAAUGAUGGACUGUCGUUUCUCUUUGCUUAUUUGAGCUGUUCUUGCCGUAAUAUGGACCUGGUCUUUUACCAAAUACGGCUAUCUUCUGUAUACCAACCCUACCUUGUCACAACACAACUGAUUGUCUCAAAGCCGUUAAGAAGGAAAGAAAUUACACAAAUUUACUUUUAACAAGGCACACCUGUUAAUUGAAAUGCAUUCCAUGAAGCAUUCCAUUCUCAUGAAGCUAGUUGAGAGAAUGCCAACAGUGUGCAAAGCUGUCAUCAAGGCAAAGGGUGGCUACUUUGAAGAAUCUCAAAUAUAUAAUAUUUUUUUAUUUGUUUAGCAGUUUUUUGGUUUCUACGUGAAUCCAUAAGUGUUAUUUCAUAGUUUUGAUAUCUUCACUAUUAUUCUACAAUGUAGAAAGUUGUAAAAAUAUAGAAAAACCCUUGAAUGAGUAGGUGUGUCCAACAUUUUGACUGAUACUGUGCACAAAAUAUAAACACAACAUGUAAAGUGUUGGUCCCAUGUUUCUUGAGCUAAAUUUUUCAAAGAAAUGUUCCAUACGCACAAAAAACUUUUUUUCUCUAAAAUGUUGUGCACACAUUUUUUUACAUCCCUGUUAGUGAGCAUUUCUCCUUUGUCAAAAUUAUCCAUCCACCUGACAGGUGUGGCAUAUCAAGAAGCUGAUUAAACAGCAUGAUCGUUACACAGGUGCACCUUGUGCUGGGGACAAUAAAAUGCCACUCUAAAAUGUGUAGUUUUGUCACACAACACAAUACCACAGAUGUCUCAAGUUUUGAGAGAGCGUGCAUAUUGGCAUGCUGACUGCAGGAAUGUCCACCAGAGCUGUUGCCAGAGAAUUGAACAUUCAUUUCUCAACCAUAAGCCGCCUCCAACAUCAUUUGAGAGAACCGCAGACAACCGUUGACCACGUGUAUUGCGUCAUGUGGGGGAGCGGUUUGCUGAUGUCAACGUUGUGAACAGAAUGUGCCCCAUGGUGGAGGUGGGGUUAUGGUAUGGGCCCCAUGGUGGAGGUGGUGUUAUGGUAUGGGCCCCAUGGUGGAGGUGGGGUUAUGGUAUGGGCCCCAUGGUGGAGGUGGUGUUAUGGUAUGGGCCCCAUGGUGGAGGUGGGGUUAUGGUAUGGGCCCCAUGGUGGAGGUGGUGUUAUGGUAUGGGGCAGGCAUAAGCUACGGACAACAAACAAAAUUGCAUUUUAUCAAUGGAAAUUUGAAUGCACAGAGAUACCGUGAUGAGAUCCUGAGGCCCAUUGUAAGUAAUAAUAGAAACAUAAAACAUAUAGUCACUUAUUUAGAAAGUAUUCAUACUCCUUGACUUAUUAUACAUUUUGUUGUGUUACAUCCUGAAUUCAAAAAAUAUUAAAUGUAGAUGUAUUUUCUCGCCCAUCUACAUACAAUACCUCAUAAAGACAAAGUGAAAACUUGUUUGUAGCUUUUUUUUGUUGUAAAUUUGUUGCAAAUUAAAUUAAAAAAUAUCUAAUUUACGUAAGUAUUCACUCCCCUGGGUCAAUACGUGUUAGAAUCACUCUUGGCAGCAAAUCACCUUUGGGGCAGCUGCGUGGCCUAGUGGUUAGAGUGUUGGACUAGUAACCAGGAGGUUGCAAGAUCAAAUCUGCAAGUUUGAAUCCCUAAGCUGACAAGGUAAAAAUCUGUUGUUCUGAACAAGGCAGUUAACCCACUGUUCCUAGGCUUUCAAUGAAAAUAAGAAUUUGUUCUUAACUGACUUGCCUGGUUAAAUAAAAACCUUUGGCAGUGAUUACAGAUAUGAGUCUUUCUGGGUCUAAGAGCUUUGCACAUUAUUAUUUUUUAAAUUCUUCAAGCUCUGUCAAGUUGGUUUUUGAUCAUUGCUAGACAGCAAUUUAAGUCAAAACUGUAACUCGGCCACUCAGGAACAUUCAGUGUCAUCUUGGAAAGCAAGUCCAGUGUAGAUUUGGCGUUGUGUUUUAGGUUAUUGACCUGCUGAACAGAGAAUUAGUCUUUGUGUCUGUUGGAAAUCAGACUGAAACAGGAUUUUGCCUGUGCUUAGCUUUAUUCCGUUUCUUUGUAUCCUUAAUGCCGAUGACAAGCAUACCCAUAACAUGAUGCAGCCACCACCAUGCUUAAACGUAUGAAGAGUGGUACGGAGUAAUGUGUUGUAUUCACCCCAAACAUAACACUUUGUGUUCAGAACAUAAAGUUUGUUUCUUAGCCACAUUUCUUUGCAGUUUUCCUUUAGUGCCUUGUUGCCACAUUUUUUGCAGUAAUACUUCAGUGCCUUGUUGCAAACAGGAUGGAUGUUUUGGAAUAUUUGUAUUCUGUACAGGCUUCCUUCUUUUCACUCUGUCAUUUAGGUUAGUAUUGUGAAGUAACUACAAUGUUGUUGAUCCAUCUUCAGUUCUCUCCUACCACAGCCAUUAAACUCUGUAACUGUUUUAAAGUCACCAUUGGCCUCAUGGUGAAAUCCCUGAGCGGUUUCCUUCCUGUCCGGCAACUGAGUUAGAAGAUACGCCUAUAUCUUUGUAGUGACUGGGUGUAUUGAUACACCAUCCAAAGUGUAAUUGACUUCACCAUGCUGAAAGUGACUCAAUGUCUGCUUUUUUAAAUUGACCCGUCUACCAACAGGUGCCCUUCUUUGCGAGGCAUUGGAAAACCUCCCUGGUCUUUAUGGUUGAAUCUGUGUUUGAAAUUCCCUGCUCGACUGAGGGACCUUACAGAUAAUUGUGUGUGUGGGGGUACAGAGAUGAAGUCCAACUUAUUAUGUGACUAGUUAAGCACAUUACUACUCCUGAAAUGAUUUAGGCUUCCCAUAACACUUUUUGACUGACUCAAGACAUUUCACUCUCUGCAGUAAAUCAUCUGCUCUACAGUAAAUCAUCCGCUCUGCUGUAAAUCAUCUGCUCUACAGUAAAUCAUCCUCUCUGCAGUAAAUCAUCUGCUCUACAGUAAAUCAUCCGCUCUGCAGUAAAUCAUCCGCUCUACAGUAAAUCAUCCUCUCUGCAGUAAAUCAUCCGCUCUGCAGUAAAUCAUCCUCUCUGCAGUAAAUCAUCCGCUCUACAGUAAAUCAUCCGCUCUCCAGUAAAUCAUCUGCUCUACAGUAAAUCAUCCGCUCUGCAGUAAAUCAUCCGCUCUACAGUAAAUCAUCCUCUCUGCAGUAAAUCAUCCGCUCUGCAGUAAAUCAUCCUCUCUGCAGUAAAUCAUCCGCUCUACAGUAAAUCAUCCGCUCUACAGUAAAUCAUCCUCUCUGCAGUAAAUCAUCUGCUCUACAGUAAAUCAUCCGCUCUACAGUAAAUCAUCCUCUCUGCAGUAAAUCAUCUGCUCUACAGUAAAUCAUCCGCUCUGCAGUAAAUCAUCUGCUCUGCAGUAAAUCAUCCUCUCUGCAGUAAAUCAUCUGCUCUGCAGUAAAUCAUCCUCUCUGCAGUAAAUCAUCCUCUCUGCAGUAAAUCAUCUGCUCUACAGUAAAUCAUCCGCUCUGCAGUAAAUCAUCUGCUCUGCAGUAAAUCAUCCUCUCUGCGGUAAAUCAUCCGCUCUGCAGUAAAUCAUCUGCUCUGCAGUAAAUCAUCCUCUCUGCAGUAAAUCAUCUGCUCUGCAGUAAAUCAUCCUCUCUGCAGUAAAUCAUCCGCUCUGCAGUAAAUCAUCUGCUCUACAGUAAAUCAUCCGCUCUGCAGUAAAUCAUCUGCUCAAUCAAUUACAUUCAUCGCUAGUUUCUUAGCAACAGUUUGGUGAGAAUGAAAAGCGUGUAAAACUAUUUCGAAAUGAAUCCUCUGCUUGUCUCUUUUCAAUUAUCAGCCCUGUGAAUACAUUCAAUUAUCAGCCCUGUGAAUGCAUUCAAACCCAUGAGAGGUGAUGACACAGACAAAAAUAUAUCUGACAAGAGCGAAGGUUCAGGGAGUCUAUUUUUACCUCGAAGGCCAGGCGUUGUCAAGAGAAUUUGACUAGAGCUUCAGGGAGUCUAGUAUAAUUCUGAAGGCUAGGUGUUUGAACAAGUGAAAUAAAGUUGUAUGAUUUGAUACUCUAUUAUAACUGAUUUGAAUGUAAUUCCUGUAGUUUUUCCAAUUUGGAGAUUAUCUAACAAGUUUUUGUUUUUCAAAGCAGACUUUGACAGACAUUGAAAAUCCCCCCUCAUUCCCUCCAAACAUCUAACUUUGGUGGCUGUUUAGUGUUAAAUGUCCUAGGGACAUUUUAAUGACAAAAUAUGUAGUGUCAGUCGGAAAAAUCAUAGUUUGAAAAAUCUCGAAACAGACCAGCCAAAAAAACGAAUCUGGCAAUGUUGGGGUUGGGGGAACACAGAGGCUAGUCACUGCAGGCCUUGCAGAAGGUAAAUACAUCCACACAGAUUAUUGGCAGUUUGUUGCUGAACCAGGGCCAAUACUGGAUGAUUAAAAUGAUAUAAUGCUGAUUGGAACUUUUACAACUACAGUAGUUAAUGAAAAUGAAAAGCCUUCUAUUGGAGUGGAACCAAUCCCACUCACUACAACAACAUCAGGUAGCCUAGUGGUUACAGAGCGUUGGACUAGUAACCGGAAGGUUGUAAGAUCAAAUCCCCGAGCUGACGAGUUAAAACCUUCCUGGGUUUUGUGGGUGAUUAUAUUUUGAGUAGUGUUUGUUUCUCUCUGCGUCACGGUUUGUUGUGUUUGUAAAUUCAGUUAUUUUGUUGUAUUGAAAAGGU
Molecule: long non-coding RNA, 5758 nt
Filed under: Salmo salar (Atlantic salmon)
Lineage: Eukaryota; Metazoa; Chordata; Actinopteri; Salmoniformes; Salmonidae
Description: lncRNA (ENSSSAG00000082180.1)
Source: RNAcentral